GCAUCGAUGAAGAACGCAGCGAAAUGCGAUAAGUAAUGUGAAUUGCAGAAUUCAGUGAAUCAUCGAAUCUUUGAACGCACAUUGCGCCCCUUGGUAUUCCGAGGGGCAUGCCUGUUCGAGCGUCAUUACACCACUCAAGCUAUGCUUGGUAUUGGGUGCCGUCCUUAGUUGGGCGCGCCUUAAAGACCUCGGCGAGGCCUCACCGGCUUUAGGCGUAGUAGAAUUUAUUCGAACGUCUGUCAAAGGAGAGGACUUCUGCCGACUGAAACCUUUAUUUUUCUAGGUUGACCUCGGAUCAGGUAGGGAUACCCGCUGAACUUAAGCAUAUCAAUAAGCGGAGGA
Molecule: ribosomal RNA, 342 nt
Filed under: uncultured fungus
Lineage: Eukaryota; Fungi
Description: eukaryotic LSU rRNA
Rfam family: 5.8S ribosomal RNA (bases 1-125)
Source: RNAcentral